RNAcentral lists this transfer RNA (76 nucleotides) under Desulfovibrionaceae bacterium. RNAcentral describes it as "tRNA-Thr". It matches the Rfam family "tRNA". Rfam says of the family: Transfer RNA (tRNA) molecules are approximately 80 nucleotides in length. Their secondary structure includes four short double-helical elements and three loops (D, anti-codon, and T loops). The record is from RNAcentral. RNAcentral also lists the same sequence under 5 other names. Lineage: Bacteria; Pseudomonadati; Thermodesulfobacteriota; Desulfovibrionia; Desulfovibrionales; Desulfovibrionaceae.
GCUGCUGUAGCUCAAUCGGUAGAGCGCGUCCUUGGUAAGGACGAGGUAGGCGGUUCAAUCCCGCCCAGCAGCUCCA